RNAcentral lists this ribosomal RNA (76 nucleotides) under Tissierellia bacterium. RNAcentral's name for it is "partial 16S ribosomal RNA". It matches the Rfam family "Bacterial small subunit ribosomal RNA", at positions 1 to 74 of the family's 1533-position model. Lineage: Bacteria; Bacillati; Bacillota; Tissierellia. The record is from RNAcentral.
UUUUAAUUGAGAGUUUGAUCCUGGCUCAGGACGAACGCUGGCGGCGUGCCUAACACAUGCAAGUCGAGCGAUGAAA